Molecule: long non-coding RNA, 2954 nt
Organism: Macrobrachium nipponense
Lineage: Eukaryota; Metazoa; Arthropoda; Malacostraca; Decapoda; Palaemonidae
Exons: 4
Source: RefSeq, a predicted model, not a curated record
UCAGCUCGUUGACAGCAUUUUGUAAAGGCUACAAAGAAUCCGCUCAUAUGCUUUAUUCUGUAGACCAUGCAUAUAAAUAUGAGCGAGGACAACCAAAGUCAAAUUAGAACGAUCGAGAGAGCCGCUUCAAAGGCACCUACCUACCUCUAAUACUAUUACUACUAUUACUACAGCUACUCCAACGAUGACCUGCCAUUGGGGGGAGAAUAUUGCCCCAACACCCAAGAUUCGCACCUGAUGACGGUCUCAGUCCAGCACAGUCCUUAACCCAGGACAGACAUCCAAGCCAGCCUUCCCAUAGGCCUACGAAGGGGCUAACUGGCAUGCCUCGAGCUUGGACAAAGCCGACGCCAUUAUCCAAAGUUCCUGUCCAUAAGGCAUCCAGAUUUGCUGAGUCACGUGCUCCGUCUCCUCGCAUGCAAGAGCUUCCUUACUGCUAGAUAAUAUCAAUUUUGGAAACCAGCAUUGAAUUAGAUGUUGAUUUUGGACAGUUUUCCAAUAUUGUGAAAGAUAGGAGCGAUCCAGACAUUAUAUAGCGCUCUGCCCACGUGGCUCUAGGUCUUGCCUUUACCUCAGGCCAUUCAACGUUAUCUUGUAAAUAAAUGUAAGAAAAGACGUUGUUUGCACCCCUCCUCCUGCCUAGUUUGUCUCUCUUUCUCCCGUCCGGGCAUUGGAAGGAAGAAAGAUCCCCCAGUGCAGGUGCCGAUGUUGAUGGCAUGGACGAGGGAGCAGCCGAACAGACAGAUGAAGCCUAGGUCUAGCCACGGUCAAGAGAUGAAGGAAUUCAACCACGGCGAUCGGCUCGUCUUUUGGCCAGACAGAAGAUUAACAACGGAAUAACACGAUUUUAUGACAGUUUGUUUAAGUUGUUUGCUCCCUUUGAGGCUGUUCUAAUUUCUUUUCUGUGCUUCGUGGCAUUUUGCAUUUGUUUAGUCACUCAUAUAAAUUCCUGGAUGUCUCCGGGCAUACAGUUGAAUUCCAUCCAACCACUUUCUGGACUGGCAGGCCUGUAUAGUAAGACGGGCGCACACCGUAACUUUCUACAGCAGAGUUAGCGAGUUGAACAUUUGGCCAGUUUCGCACUCCCAGACACCUGUCGUCCAGAAAGGGGUGAAAUGGAAAUCACUCUCAAAUGCCCGGACAUCCAUGAACUUAAAUGAGUGACUGUACCUUUAAAAAAGGAAAAUCAGUAGGGGAGGAUGGUGGGGCAAAACGGCACACUUAAGGUUUGAGUCCAAUUUCUAAAAACCCUUUUGCAAUAUAUUUAAAUAGUUAUUUUUUCUCUCAUCUUUAUUCAUCAAAAUGAGUUGAGUGGAGUUGAAUAUAGAAUUUAGGCAAAAAGGACAACCACUGGGACCUAUGAGGUCAUUCAGUGCUGAAAUGGAAAUUGACAGUAAAGUGUUUGAAAGGCGUAACAGGAGAAUAACCUCACAGUUGUGCUAAGAAUCCAUUGUUAGGAGAGGCCGGAAAGCAAGAUGAAGAAAGAAAAUAUAAGAGAAGGUACAGUAAAAGGAAUGUAAGUGGUUGCAGCUAGGGGCCGAAGGCACGCUGCAAAGAACCUUAAGUAAUGCCUACAGUGCACCUCAUAAGGUCCACUGAAGGCACUACCCUCCUACGGGGUUAUUCAUCAAUAAACAAAAUAAACUUUCUUUGGAAGAUAUAGUUUUCAUACUUUACCCAAGAAAAUUGACAAAAGAAGAGACCCAAGUGGACCAUUAUGGACAAUGGUUAGGGCAAAAUGGCCCUGGCAUAUGGGGCAAAAUGACCCCUCAUGAGUAAACACUUGUUAUGUCAGCAUACAACUUAAAGUUGUCAUGUUCUCAUAACUCUAGAAAGUAAUUAGUCUUUGGUUAAACAUCACUGAAAAAAAUGUCUCUCAUUAUACUACCUACCAAUGUUAAGUAACGUUGCCUUGCAUGGCAAGUGAUUAUUAUUCAUAAUAAAAGAAAUAUAAAACAUAUUUUCCUUUUUAUUUCUCCAAAGAAAUUGUAGCAUAUUAUCAGCCUAAGUAAAUACAGGCCUACGCACAAAAUUCACAGCUGAAUUCAUAAUCACCUUCUUCUACACCUGCACAUUCGUCAUGAGCCUAGUGUUUACAAGUAGCACACUGAAUCCAGCCUUCACCUCCUCUCUUACUGUAUUUUUCACAGCAGUACAAACAGAAUGUCUCGUCAUCAUCCUCGGACUCACUUGAUUCCUGUUGAGUGACAGUUGAUAAAGGACUAUUUUUUUUUUUCCUUCAAGACACAACCUGAAACCCCAUCCCCCUUUUUUUUCUUUUCUUUUCUUUGCCACUCUUAUGUUUAACAGCUACUGGCAUUUUUGUUUUCUUUUUAUCCAUCUCGAUUAAUUUUUCCUUUAUCAUCUUCUUGUAUGGGCUUGACGUAGUGUGCUCAGUCCUUCUUACUUUACGCUUUGCACUAACUCGAUCUGCUUUAGGAGGAGGACUUAUUUCAAAUGGAGAAAUAUAACCAGAGGUGCUAACAGUGGGUGGGUCUGGGCCUUUAGGCACUUGCUUCUUCUGAGGAGUAGGCCUAGCUACAGCUGCGCGGUUAAAACCACGAGUUCUUGCAGCAGAAGUUGCUUCAGUCUGACGCAGAUAAAGCUCUUUGCGUCGCGAAAGAAUACCUCACCUCUCAGCCAGUCUCUUCCAUUUUCAUAGGGAUGCUGCAUAUGAUUUGGUGCAGCCAACUGAUAUGCUAGGUGGUGGACGUCCGUUGGAGUCAACCCAAACAUCAUUUGCUCCGUAUUACGGGCUCCUCUAGGAGCAAGAACCCGUGCUGGCAUAAGGCCAGCUAAAUCUAAAACAACAUUUGCUCCAUUAAUAAGAUAUACUGACUCCAUGUCUUUAGAGAGUUUGAGUGGCAAGUACUGUAUUUACUACAAGCUAAUACAGUUUGUUGAUAAUUGUUAUUAUAAAUUUACCCGAUUAAAUAAAUAAAAUAAAAAAUUAU